AAGAGACAGCAGCAGCCGCGGGAAUACGAAGGGGGCAAGCGUUGUCCGGAAUUAUUGGGCGUAAAGCGCGCGCAGGCGGUUUUUUAAGUCUGGUGUCUAAGUGCGGGGCUCAACCCCGUGACGCACUGGAAACUGGGAGACUUGAGUGCAGAAGAGGAGAGCGGAAUUCCACGUGUAGCGGUGAAAUGCGUAGAGAUGUGGAGGAACACCAGUGGCGAAGGCGGCUCUCUGGACUGUAACUGACGCUGAGGCGCGAAAGCGUGGGGAGCAAACAGGAUUAGAGACCCCGGUAGUCCCUGUCUCUUAUACA
Molecule: ribosomal RNA, 310 nt
Filed under: uncultured bacterium
Lineage: Bacteria
Description: partial 16S ribosomal RNA
Rfam family: Bacterial small subunit ribosomal RNA
Source: RNAcentral